CAAGAUUUAACAUAAGUAAUGUGUCUCACUUACAUUGAGAAAAUAAUUAGGUUUAAUUAGUCUUGA
This 66-nucleotide transfer RNA is filed under the name Abraliopsis sp. 2 FFA-2023. RNAcentral's name for it is "tRNA-Val". The record is from RNAcentral. Lineage: Eukaryota; Metazoa; Mollusca; Cephalopoda; Oegopsida; Enoploteuthidae.